UACGGAGGGUGCAAGCGUUAAUCGGAAUUACUGGGCGUAAAGCGCGCGCAGGCGGUUUCUUAAGUCUGAUGUGAAAGCCCACGGCUCAACCGUGGAGGGUCAUUGGAAACUGGGGAACUUGAGUGCAGAAGAGAAAGGCGGAAUUCCACGUGUAGCGGUGAAAUGCGUAGAGAUGUGGAGGAACACCAGUGGCGAAGGCGGCUUUUUGGUCUGUAACUGACGCUGAGGCGCGAAAGCGUGGGGAGCAAACAGG
This 253-nucleotide ribosomal RNA is filed under the name uncultured bacterium. Its description in RNAcentral is "partial 16S ribosomal RNA". It matches the Rfam family "Bacterial small subunit ribosomal RNA", at positions 524 to 776 of the family's 1533-position model. The record is from RNAcentral.